UACGAAGGGGGCGAGCGUUGUUCGGAUUUACUGGGCGUAAAGGGCGCGCAGGCGGCUCAUUUUGUCAGGCGUGAAAGCCCCGGGCUUAACCUGGGAGGUGCGUUUGAUACGGAUGGGCUAGAGUUCGGGAGAGGAGAGUGGAAUUCCUGGUGUAGCGGUGAAAUGCGCAGAUAUCAGGAAGAACACCCGUGGCGAAAGCGGCUCUCUGGAACGGUACUGACGCUGAGACGCGAAAGCGUGGGGAGCGAACAGG
This 253-nucleotide ribosomal RNA is filed under the name uncultured bacterium. Its description in RNAcentral is "partial 16S ribosomal RNA". It matches the Rfam family "Bacterial small subunit ribosomal RNA", at positions 524 to 776 of the family's 1533-position model. The record is from RNAcentral.